UGCUUCUCUUGAGAGCGGCGGACGGGUGAGUAAUGCCUAGGAAUCUGCCUGGUAGUGGGGGAUAACGUUCGGAAACGGACGCUAAUACCGCAUACGUCCUACGGGAGAAAGCAGGGGACCUUCGGGCCUUGCGCUAUCAGAUGAGCCUAGGUCGGAUUAGCUAGUUGGUGGGGUAAUGGCUCACCGAGGCGACGAUCCGUAACUGGUCUGAGAGGAUGAUCAGUCACACUGGAACUGAGACACGGUCCAGACUCCUACGGGAGGCAGCAGUGGGGAAUAUUGGACAAUGGGCGAAAGCCUGAUCCAGCCAUGCCGCGUGUGUGAAGAAGGUCUUCGGAUUGUAAAGCACUUUAAGUUGGGAGGAAGGGUUGUAGAUUAAUACUCUGCAAUUUUGACGUUACCGACAGAAUAAGCACCGGCUAACUCUGUGCCAGCAGCCGCGGUAAUACAGAGGGUGCAAGCGUUAAUCGGAAUUACUGGGCGUAAAGCGCGCGUAGGUGGUUUGUUAAGUUGGAUGUGAAAUCCCCGGGCUCAACCUGGGAACUGCAUUCAAAACUGACUGACUAGAGUAUGGUAGAGGGUGGUGGAAUUUCCUGUGUAGCGGUGAAAUGCGUAGAUAUAGGAAGGAACACCAGUGGCGA
Molecule: ribosomal RNA, 641 nt
Filed under: uncultured bacterium
Lineage: Bacteria
Description: bacterial SSU rRNA
Rfam family: Bacterial small subunit ribosomal RNA
Source: RNAcentral